GAUGAACGCUGGCGGCGUGCCUAAUACAUGCAAGUCGAGCGAACGGACGAGAAGCUUGCUUCUCUGAUGUUAGCGGCGGACGGGUGAGUAACACGUGGAUAACCUACCUAUAAGACUGGGAUAACUUCGGGAAACCUGAGCUAAUACCGGAUGAUAUUUUGAACCUCAUGGUUCAAAAGUGAAAGACGGUCUUGCUGUCACUUAUAGAUGGAUCCGCGCUGCAUUAGCUAGUUGGUAAGGUAACGGCUUACCAAGGCAACGAUGCAUAGCCGACCUGAGAGGGUGAUCGGCCACACUGGAACUGAGACACGGUCCAGACUCCUACGGGAGGCAGCAGUAGGGAAUAUUCCGCAAUGGGCGAAAGCCUGACGGAGCAACGCCGCGUGAGUGAUGAAGGUCUUCGGAUCGUAAAACUCUGUUAUUAGGGAAGAACAUAUGUGUAAGUAACUGUGCACAUCUUGACGGUACCUAAUCAGAAAGCAACGGCUAACUACGUG
This 497-nucleotide ribosomal RNA is filed under the name uncultured bacterium. Its description in RNAcentral is "partial 16S ribosomal RNA". It matches the Rfam family "Bacterial small subunit ribosomal RNA", at positions 28 to 507 of the family's 1533-position model. The record is from RNAcentral.